Molecule: ribosomal RNA, 465 nt
Filed under: uncultured bacterium
Lineage: Bacteria
Description: partial 16S ribosomal RNA
Rfam family: Bacterial small subunit ribosomal RNA
Source: RNAcentral
GACGAACGCUGGCGGCGUGCUUAACACAUGCAAGUCGUACGGUAAGGCCCUUUCGGGGGUACACGAGUGGCGAACGGGUGAGUAACACGUGAGUAACCUGCCCACAACUUUGGGAUAACGCUAGGAAACUGGUGCUAAUACUGGAUAUGUGCUCCUGCUGCAUGGUGGGGGUUGGAAAGCUCCGGCGGUUGUGGAUGGACUCGCGGCCUAUCAGCUUGUUGGUGGGGUAGUGGCCUACCAAGACGGCGACGGGUAGCCGGCCUGAGAGGGUGACCGGCCACAUUGGGACUGAGAUACGGCCCAGACUCCUACGGGAGGCAGCAGUGGGGAAUAUUGCACAAUGGGCGCAAGCCUGAUGCAGCAACGCCGCGUGCGGGAUGACGGCCUUCGGGUUGUAAACCGCUUUCAGCAGGGACGAAGCUUUUUGUGACGGUACCUGCAGAAGAAGCACCGGCUAACUACGUG